RNAcentral lists this ribosomal RNA (253 nucleotides) under uncultured bacterium. RNAcentral describes it as "partial 16S ribosomal RNA". It matches the Rfam family "Bacterial small subunit ribosomal RNA", at positions 524 to 776 of the family's 1533-position model. The record is from RNAcentral.
GACGAACCGAGCGAACGUUGUUCGGAAUCACUGGGCUUAAAGGGCGCGUAGGCGGGUGCGUUUGUCCGGGGUGAAAGCCCUGGGCUCAACCUGGGAAUGGCAUUGGAUACUGGCGAUCUAGAGUGCGGUAGAGGGCAGUGGAAUUCCCGGUGUAGCAGUGAAAUGCGUAGAGAUCGGGAGGAACAUCUGUGGCGAAGGCGACUGCCUGGACCAGCACUGACACUGAGGCACGAAAGCGUGGGGAGCAAACAGG